This 984-nucleotide unclassified non-coding RNA is filed under the name Nilaparvata lugens (brown planthopper). RNAcentral's name for it is "uncharacterized LOC111046421, transcript variant X1". The record is from RNAcentral. Lineage: Eukaryota; Metazoa; Arthropoda; Insecta; Hemiptera; Delphacidae.
ACACUAGUUUGAUUUGGCGGGCUGAUCACAUUUUUGAAGUAACGAACUUUAUAGGUUAACCUAACUUGAGCAUUGAAAUGUAAAGUUGAAUAACAAAUCUUUUAUUAGUUGAACCAUUUAAUUCAUUUAUCCAAGGAACAAUAUUUCAGAAAUAUGGAAUGUAAUAAUGGUACAAUCAGCAAUGGGGAUUCCAUUGUAACCGAAAGAAUGAUGGUACUUCAGAAUGCAGUUCACAAAACAGUCCAAGAAAUCAUUAAAGGAGUUAGCGAUGAAGAGUUCAGAAAUGUUAUUGGCGACUUACAACCACUGAAAACUAAACACCUACUUGCGCAAAAGUUGCAUGCAAAGUUCAAUAUAGUCUUUGACAACAAUGCAGCUCAAUGGUUACAUGAUUUAGUGAAGACUGAUAAUCUUGAUGCCAAAUUUUCAGAACUGUUAGUUCUAACAGAUAAUAACGCCGAACACGAAGAUGUGGAAGCUUGGAGACCACCUGGCAGUGUUGAAAAACAUUUACGUGCUCCUUCCAUCACAGAAAAAUUGAGAUUCAUUGAAAAUUUGAAACUGCACGUGGAAGAGACAGAAAAAUCAGUUGAGUUUUUGAAGACCAAGGUGAUCAAAGCGAGGGAUCAAGUGCAACAUCAGAUAAAAAUACUAGAUGAACUGACCAAUGCCGCCGAUAUUUCAGCAGACAAUUGCAAAAUUGUCUUCAACAUACUUACUGAUCGUGAAAUUUGAUGUUUUCAAUUUAUAAUUUUUUAUCCUGUAUAUAGAUGUAGAAAUAAUAUUAUUUUCGAUAUUCGAUUCAUAACAGACAUCAUUUUACCAUACAGAAUAGGGAAAACAGUCCAUGAUAAAAAAGUCCAUUCCUCUAUAAACUUCUACAAUUUAAAAAAAAUGUCGUUAUGGACUGUGAAUCUCAAAUUGAUUGUAUUCUCUUUUAACUGAUUAACUUCUAAAUAAAUAUUAUUUCGUUCAUGUUUUUUA